RNAcentral lists this long non-coding RNA (358 nucleotides) under Cricetulus griseus (Chinese hamster). Its description in RNAcentral is "lncRNA (ENSCGRG00015034427.1)". The record is from RNAcentral. Lineage: Eukaryota; Metazoa; Chordata; Mammalia; Rodentia; Cricetidae.
GCACACUCAAACACCCGGAGGUCCGGCCACCUCAGAGGGUGCACUGGGCACCCUGUGUUCCUACCACACGGCUAGGCUAGGCGCGCUGGCCACUCGGGUGGGCGUGCUGGGCUUCCCUGCGGCGGCAGUCUGGACCACAGCGUGCGACUCCCCUUCUAGCAGUAGGUGUUCUGACAUAUGACUGCUGCCCUUCUGCCCGAGAGUAGUUCAAACUGAAGGGAAGGAAACAUAUUUGCUUGCUCUGCCAUGUUGAACCACAAGUCUGAGAGAGGGUUCUGAACCCUGCACACAAGGCUCUCGUACAGUGAGGACAACAGGCCGCUAAAGGAUCUGCGCUACAAGCAUUUCCACAAGAAAU